UACGUAGGGUGCAAGCGUUGUCCGGAAUUAUUGGGCGUAAAGAGCUCGUAGGUGGCCUGUCGCGUCGGCUGUGAAAACUCGGGGCUCAACUCCGAGCUUGCAGUCGAUACGGGCAAACUAGAGUGUUGCAGGGGAGACUGGAAUUCCUGGUGUAGCGGUGAAAUGCGCAGAUAUCAGGAGGAACACCGGUGGCGAAGGCGGGUCUCUGGGCCGAUACUGACGCUGAGGAGCGAAAGCGUGGGGAGCGAACAGG
Molecule: ribosomal RNA, 253 nt
Filed under: uncultured bacterium
Lineage: Bacteria
Description: partial 16S ribosomal RNA
Rfam family: Bacterial small subunit ribosomal RNA
Source: RNAcentral